RNAcentral lists this ribosomal RNA (369 nucleotides) under uncultured prokaryote. RNAcentral describes it as "partial 16S ribosomal RNA". The record is from RNAcentral.
UUUUUGAGAUGGCAGCAACGGAAACCAUAACGAGCAUCAUCUUGAUUAAGCUCAUUAGGGUUAGCCUCGGUACGGUCAGGCAUCCACGGCGCUUUAAAAUAGUUGUUAUAGAUAUUCAAAUAACCCUGAAACAAAUGCUUAGGGAUUUUAUUGGUAUCAGGGUUAAUCGUGCCAAGAAAAGCGGCAUGGUCAAUAUAACCAGUAGUGUUAACAGUCGGGAGAGGAGUGGCAUUAACACCAUCCUUCAUGAACUUAAUCCACUGUUCACCAUAAACGUGACGAUGAGGGACAUAAAAAGUAAAAAUGUCUACAGUAGAGUCAAUAGCAAGGCCACGACGCAAUGGAGAAAGACGGAGAGCGCCAACGGCG